CUCAGCCGGAGGAAUGUCCUGGCACGGAGGCCGGGGCGCCCGGCGAGGGUGACGCAACGGGCACGGCGCGCUCCCGUCUCCGCGGCGGGCAAAGGCCAGCAGGCGCGGCCGCACUCCUUCGGGAGCGGCGGCCAGCACCCCGCUCGUCCUCAGCCCUGCCCAAGCCGUUAAGAAGGUGACUGAUAGCUUGGAGCCCCAGAGGGAUUUUGGGACCCGACCGGUGGAAGAGGCUGCUUAAGCCGGCAGAAGGGACCCUGCCAGGGAGGGUGGAGCCGCAGCUUCCCUUAGGGGGGGGAAUCUGCCUCCUGGUCCGACAGCAGGGCUUGCUGGGGAUCCCUGCUCCACGCCAGCACACGCGUCCGGCCCCUCGCUGCACGCUCCCAGGAUUAGCGCGCAUGGGAGGCACCGCAAGUCUUGCUAACUUGCAGCAAAAUCGCGCUAGGAUCCACCGCUUACAGUCAAAUAUAUUUACCGUAUAGUUUUCUAAAAGAAAUGUAUCUGCGGUGUAAGGGAAGACGUAAAAACUCAGUGUUUGCCUUUCACUGGGUUUUUCUCUAAUGCUCACUUACAUUACGAGAAGUUAAGAUUUUAUCCGGCAUUCUUUGCACUCCCACUGAAAAUACAGAACUGUUGGAGCGAAACUGGAUGUUUUCCAGAGGUACGCAAGAGAGCAAAGGGGGAAAGGAAGUGCCCUGAGCAACAGAUCUCAUCAAAUGGAGUUUCCUAUGGAUUUCUCUCUCUUGAAAGAUUAAUUUUUUCUAACUGAACAGUAUUAAGACUUUCAAUGUACACCUACGCAAGUUCCUCUGCUUUCCCUUUGUAGUCCUCCUGAAUGUAAUCUGGCUACACCAUAACAGAUCUGAUGUCUCCUAGCGGAAACCAACAAGUUCCUGAGUUGAACUGGUAGGCAUACAGCCCCACUUUCUUCUAUCUCGAAUUAUUUCAUGAAACUUAAUUACUUAAUUAAGGAUCUUAAUUACUUUUGCGACCUCUAUCCUUCUGCCAGAUUUAACUCAAAUAAGCUAACAAGUUAAAAAGUCACUGGGACAAGGACUAGCCCAAGUGACAGAGGAGAUGCCCGAGGAGGCCAAGCAGAGGCCUUGCUUCCACGGGAAAUGAGGCUGAAAUGAUAAUGUUGAAUUUAGUGACAUUGACAGAGAAGCACAGAGGAGGUACAGCAUGCAGAAGGAAAGGACUAUGAUUUCAGAGAGCUUCAAUGCAUAAGGCAACUUAGUUCAUUAUAACCACUUCGCACUAAUGAGCAUCCAGGAGUGGAAUCCGAACAAACAGUGCCUUCUGCUUCAUGAGAUUUCUAUAAAGUCAUGAAAUACUCCUUCUUCAGCCCUUGCUUCUUCUGUACUCUGACAACUGCCAGGUGCCCGUCAGUGAGGUGCAGCGGUAGCCCUGUGUGCCUCAGGUAUGCACCUUGGGAGGUGAAGAGAAUAACAAGCACUUCUGAUUCAUUAUUCAGUUUCCAUGGUAGUAAAGACGGAGGGUGAGUCAUGCACAGUCUUGGAGUUGUCAUCCCUGGAGCAUCUACCCAGUCGUGCAACUCUGGAGCUGGUAACUCUUUCUCAACCUUUCGUUUUACAAGCCUGGGAUAUGCAGUGCAGAGGCCCCGUGUGGGUGGCUGAGGAUGCACUGCAAGGGCACAGGAUUAGGGCAAUGACACACAGCGGUUUCAUAGUAUUGUACAAGUGUUGAAGAAGCCUGCUGAGCCCGUGGCAGCGACCAUGGUCACUGGCACUGGAGGAUGUACUGCACACGCGCACAGCUGCAUCUGCUUGCAAAGACAAAGGAACCCCCAUGCUGCUAUUUGCCACAGCGGCCUCCCGACAUUGUGCAUGGCUGCAAGGACGCGGACCUCCGUUUGGGACACUGAGCAGGCACAGCGUGCCAUGACAUGCUGCAGCGUCGGGAAGGCUGUUUUGGGAGACAUUAAACCAUCCUGACAAAGAGGAUCUGAAACCGCUUAACGUCCACCCCAGUCCAUGAAGCUGUGCAACAGCAGCAGAUGCCCAGAAAUGGGGCUGUCAAGACACUCCCGGGGACUUAUGUUGGUUUAAGCCAAGCAUAAAACUGUGUCUUGAGAGUUAUCCGGUUUAGGAUUUGUGCUAUUAAUUCCCAUAACAAUUUUCACCUAUCCUAGCUUGUUUGAUCAAAAAGCAGCACAUACUGUAUUUGAAAACUGAAUUGGGUAAUGGCUGACUCUUUAAAUGCAAAUACGCAAUAAAGGUACUCUUUCCUGGCUCCCA
This is a long non-coding RNA of Harpia harpyja (harpy eagle), 2255 nucleotides long. RefSeq lists it as uncharacterized. Lineage: Eukaryota; Metazoa; Chordata; Aves; Accipitriformes; Accipitridae. The transcript is spliced from 2 exons. The record is from RefSeq and is a predicted model, not a curated record.